AGAGAAAGAAAAAAAAACUAAAGAGUAGAUCUUCGUGAUCGAGAAGCAUGCAGCGGCAUCUUUGAGAUUGAGAAGCAUGCAGCAGCUGCAGCUUCUUCUUCUCUUCUUCUUUUAGUUCUUUUAAUUUAAUCAAUUUGAUUCAUGAGCUAUUGACUUCGUUUUAAUUGCAUCCACAAAGUGUAGAGCAUGUUCGGAUUUCCAUUUUAGUUGUUUGACAAAAAUGAGAGGGGGCAUGCGGAGAAACAGGGUAUUUUGUUAACAUGCAAAGGAAAAAAUUUAUAUUUUAAUUGAAAACAGAAGUGAUAAACUUAAAACAAUUGGCUAAAAUUGAUA
RNAcentral lists this unclassified non-coding RNA (333 nucleotides) under Hevea brasiliensis (rubber tree). Lineage: Eukaryota; Viridiplantae; Streptophyta; Magnoliopsida; Malpighiales; Euphorbiaceae. The record is from RNAcentral.